CUGGGACUGCGUCAUGGUCCUGCUCAUCUUGUACACCAUGGGCAUCGUGCCGUACGAGA
RNAcentral lists this non-coding RNA (59 nucleotides) under Tetraselmis striata. Lineage: Eukaryota; Viridiplantae; Chlorophyta; Chlorodendrophyceae; Chlorodendrales; Chlorodendraceae. The record is from RNAcentral.